Non-coding RNA from Paramuricea clavata, 492 nucleotides. NCBI's taxonomy places the organism in Eukaryota, Metazoa, Cnidaria, Anthozoa, Malacalcyonacea, Plexauridae. The record is from the annotation of a GenBank genome assembly.
GCAUUGUAGAUACUGUUCCUUCUAUUUGUGUUUUGCUCUCAGUUGGUUAUGGGGGUAGUACUGCCAAUGAGAACAACUGAAACUCUCAAUAUCUCUCAAUAUUAUAUACCCUUUGGAUUCGCCUACUUUUAGAAUUUAUCUCUUAUAUCUAAUAAUUACUAAUAGUAUGUCAUAUAAUCAAAGGUGAGAUUGACAUUGGUAUCAGGUUACAUUCUCGCACCUGGACGUCUUUCUUCUUUCCCGACGGCUUUGUUGUAUUGUUUUUAAACACGAUUCUUUUGUAAUGUUGUUUUGUUUAAACAAACACAGACGUAAAAGCCCUGUUUUCGGCGUUUCGUUGUCGUGAACCCACUGUAAACAGCUCGCCGAAAGGUGUCGAAGAAAUCAGCAUAUUCACGGAUUUCCCCCAAUCAGAUUCCAUUGAAAUCUUUACCAGUAGUUUCAAAAUACGCACAGAUCAGCCAGAAUACAAGAAUUUGGACUCUCUUUUAA